AUCGUUUUGUAGUUCAUGAACAUGAUGAUUGGGUUUUCAUGCGUAUGCGUGAGAUGUGCCUCCUACAAAUCUUUUUUUU
This is a non-coding RNA of Otolemur garnettii (small-eared galago), 79 nucleotides long. The record is from Rfam. Lineage: Eukaryota; Metazoa; Chordata; Mammalia; Primates; Galagidae.